Long non-coding RNA from Talpa occidentalis (Iberian mole), 934 nucleotides. RefSeq lists it as uncharacterized. Lineage: Eukaryota; Metazoa; Chordata; Mammalia; Eulipotyphla; Talpidae. The transcript has 3 exons. The record is from RefSeq and is a predicted model, not a curated record.
GCGGGGCAGUGCUGCGGAGCUGCUGGCCCGUCCUGAGGGGGCACGAUUCCCGCGGCUUCCUCUCCCUCCCUUUUUGAGGCUUCCAUGUUUUGUAUUUGUGAAGUUCGCCUGGAAAUAUACUUCCCGUUCAGCUCGCUUCCGUUAGUCUCAUCCCUUAGGUAACCACCGCCAAGUCUCUCCCUCAAAAUUGACGCCACCGAAAGCCACAGCGCUGUGUUCAUUUCACCGCUUAUAAACGCUCCAAAGCGCUGCUCUGGGUUUAAAGGCCUUUGGAGAAUUCAACAUGCUGGAGAUCUCGCCAAGAGCCCCUGCGAAUGUAGUAAAGCACAUUUCUAGCCUUUGCUGCUGUGGACUGAGCGUCCCUCACAGGAUAUCUACUGAAUCUACCUCAAAAUUUAGAUUCCUUAGCUUGGCUUUAAAUCUUUUACUCAAAUCUGAGAGAAAAUGCAGCCCGGUGAAGAUUUUUGAGGUGCAUACAGGAAACAGAACAGAUUGCUCCAGAAUUCAAAGAGAAAAUUAAGGCCUCUGCUGGAUCUGGGGCAGCCCGUCCUUACUCUUGGUCUCCCGUCCUGCGCUGUUCCGUUGCUGUGCAACAACAAUGUAACAAAACUGGGUGGAGCGCUGGGUUUAGGGAAACAGUCGAGUCAUUUCUGAGUCACCUGGAAGGAAUCUACAAAAUAAAGACAGGACUCCUGAUUUCUUGAUACAUACUUGAUAUUCACCUCACCAAGCCACAGAUUUAACCUGAAUCUUGAGAGCUAAAUAGUGGAUCAAACGCCAUGAUUCCUGGACACAUUUAAUUUGGGUAAAAUUCUGACAAAAUCAUGAUUUCUUUCAUAAUCAGAAAUGUAUAUAUACUUCAUGUUCUCAAGACCUUCUGCUAUACUUGAAUAAAAAGAAUUAUGGGAAUUCAAGAUUUAAUGAUUAAUAAAGA